GCCGGGCGCGGUGGCGCGCGCCUGUAAUCCCAGCUACUCGGGAGGCUGAGGCUGGAGGAUCGCUUGAGCUCAGGAGUUCUCGGCUGCAGUGCGCUAUGCCGAUCGGGUGUCCGCACUAAGUUCGGCAUCAAUAUGGUGACCUCCCAGGAGCGGGGGACCACCAGGUUGCCUAAGGAGGGGUGAACUGGCCCAGGUCGGAAACGGAGCAGGUCAAAACUCCCGUGCUGAUCAGUAGUGGGAUCGCGCCUGUGAAUAGCCACUGUACUCCAGCCUGGGCAACAUAGCGAGACCCUGUCUCUU
Molecule: unclassified non-coding RNA, 300 nt
Organism: Cervus hanglu yarkandensis (Yarkand deer)
Lineage: Eukaryota; Metazoa; Chordata; Mammalia; Artiodactyla; Cervidae
Rfam family: Metazoan signal recognition particle RNA
About the family: The signal recognition particle (SRP) is a universally conserved ribonucleoprotein. It is involved in the co-translational targeting of proteins to membranes. The eukaryotic SRP consists of a 300-nucleotide 7S RNA and six proteins: SRPs 72, 68, 54, 19, 14, and 9.
Source: Ensembl